GUAUAUUGUUGCAGUGGCUCAGGUUUGCAUUUUUCCUGCAAAUUUAAUCCUUCUGAUGGAUGAAUUCAUGAAGCCCCCUCCCUCACAACCCCAAAUCCACUGCUUGGGAAAAAGUCGUCUGGCUAUGGAAUUUAGUUUAAGUUUCCAUAGUGCUGUCUCUUUUUCUCGGUAUUGGACAUGGCAUUUAACCUCUUGUCUGCCUUAGGGAUGAAAUAAAACAAAAUAAAUAAAUAA
Molecule: unclassified non-coding RNA, 234 nt
Filed under: Hevea brasiliensis (rubber tree)
Lineage: Eukaryota; Viridiplantae; Streptophyta; Magnoliopsida; Malpighiales; Euphorbiaceae
Source: RNAcentral